UUUGCAUUGUGGUGGUGCGUAGAGUUUUUUUCUGACAUUUUCAUAUUUUUUUCUCUUUAAAAGAUCACAGAGAGGGCAAAGGUGGAAGCUGCCAGCCUUAGCAACAUCAAGGAGGAGCACAACCUUGAUCAGGAGACAAUACAGCAGUGGGUAUGGGAUGUCAGACAAUGGGCUGUCACAGAGAGAGUCUACACUCCAGGUUGUAUUGAAGAGCUAAGGGCUGACAUUGAGAACAUCACUGUAACCCUUUUGCGCAAGAAGCAAGAUCUGUAUCGUCAGCAUGAUAGCAACCAGGCAAGAC
Long non-coding RNA from Xyrauchen texanus (razorback sucker), 301 nucleotides. RefSeq lists it as uncharacterized. The transcript is spliced from 3 exons. The record is from RefSeq and is a predicted model, not a curated record. Lineage: Eukaryota; Metazoa; Chordata; Actinopteri; Cypriniformes; Catostomidae.